RNAcentral lists this non-coding RNA (23 nucleotides) under Arabidopsis thaliana (thale cress). Lineage: Eukaryota; Viridiplantae; Streptophyta; Magnoliopsida; Brassicales; Brassicaceae. The record is from RNAcentral.
CUAGUAAUAAACAUAUCUGCCAU